UGCGUAGGCGGAUUAAUAAGUCAGUGGUGAAAACCUGCAGCUUAACUGUAGAACUGCCAUUGAUACUGUUAGUCUUGAGUACGGCCAAGGUAGGCGGAAUGUGUAAUGUAGCGGUGAAAUGCUUAGAUAUUACACAGAACACCGAUUGCGAAGGCAGCUUACUGGACCAUUACUGACGCUGAGGCACGAAAGCGUGGGGAGCGAACAGGAUUAGAUACCCUGGUAGUCC
This 229-nucleotide ribosomal RNA is filed under the name uncultured bacterium. RNAcentral describes it as "partial 16S ribosomal RNA". It matches the Rfam family "Bacterial small subunit ribosomal RNA", at positions 568 to 796 of the family's 1533-position model. The record is from RNAcentral.